UUCGAGGUAGCUUAAUGGUAGAGCGUUUGACUACGACUGUUUCUAUCUUACGAUUGCWAGUAUAGAUUAUUAUWAAAAAUAGUUUGCCCUAGCAAUUAUAAGUACCACGAUAUCAAAAGGUUCGGGGUUCAAGUCCCCGCUUCGAAG
This 147-nucleotide transfer RNA is filed under the name Hanseniaspora osmophila. It matches the Rfam family "tRNA". From Rfam's summary of the family: Transfer RNA (tRNA) molecules are approximately 80 nucleotides in length. The record is from Rfam by way of RNAcentral. Lineage: Eukaryota; Fungi; Ascomycota; Saccharomycetes; Saccharomycodales; Saccharomycodaceae.